AUACUUACCUGGCAGGGGAGAUACAAUGAUCAUGAAGGUGGUUUUCCCAGGAUGAGUCUCAUCCAUUGUACUUGCUGACCCCUGUGAUGUCCCCAAAUGUGAGAAACUUGAUUGCAUAAUUUGUGGCAGUAAGAAAGUGAGGAUAUUUUUGGUGGGGGGGGCACUUUCUCC
Sceloporus undulatus (fence lizard) is the source of this 171-nucleotide small nuclear RNA. RefSeq annotates it as U1 spliceosomal RNA. The transcript has a single exon. NCBI's taxonomy places the organism in Eukaryota, Metazoa, Chordata, Lepidosauria, Squamata, Phrynosomatidae. The record is from RefSeq and is a predicted model, not a curated record.